This 36-nucleotide ribosomal RNA is filed under the name uncultured fungus. RNAcentral describes it as "partial 5.8S ribosomal RNA". The record is from RNAcentral. Lineage: Eukaryota; Fungi.
CAACUUUCAGCAACGGACCUCUUGGCUCUCCCAUCG